Molecule: long non-coding RNA, 841 nt
Filed under: Salvia miltiorrhiza (redroot sage)
Lineage: Eukaryota; Viridiplantae; Streptophyta; Magnoliopsida; Lamiales; Lamiaceae
Description: long non-coding RNA (SMIL_LNC007703)
Source: RNAcentral
CGUGGCCGUGGCGGGAGAGUAGGCUAUGGCGGGCCAAGCGACAGGAGCAGUUUCCAAGCACCAGCCAUCGAAGACCCGGGGCAAUUCCCUACCUUGGGUGGUAAAUGAGAUGUUACUUGUGCUGCUUCUGCCGCUCAUUGUCCAGUUUCCUAUCAAUCGUGCGGGAGAGAAUAUGAACAAUUAGUUGUGACAUUGAUGCUCAGUUUUGCUUCGUGAAAUCUGAAAAACACGUUUUAGUUGUUUGUUUUGACAUUACAUUCUGAAAUCUGAAGUAUAUUGCCUUUUAUUACUCUUUUCAUAUCCCUUGUCGAAUAUCUUGUGCGUUUAAGGGUGAUUCUAACUUUAUAAACACUAUAUCUAACUUUAGGGUGAUUCUAUUCAUAGCCCCCAUUUUAGUCCUUAUAGCCCCUUUUUAAAAAAUUAAUAAUAAUUAAUUAAGAAUUUACUAUUUUACCCUAUCUUUUAUAGUCCCCAAAUUAAAUUAAAUUCUAAUUUAACAAGUUAAUUUAAAGUCUAGCACUAAAUUGAAAAUUUGUUUUGCUUUGUUGAAAAUCUUCGAAAACAAGAUUCAGAUCAAAUCAGCUACGAAAAAUGACAUCAAAUUCACUGGUAAAUGAGAAAGCUUGAAACAUCGAGUGUUUCGUUACUCUAUUUGACAGUUGUUUUUUUUAUUGCUAUACCAAUCCAAUUUUCGUGCAAUUUGUGAAUCUGAGAAGCUAGCUGAAAAUUGGCAUCAAAGAAUCUAAUGGAUGAGAAUACUUGGAAUAAAAAUUGAAUACUAUGUUACACCAUCGGAAGGUUGUUUUUAGAUUGCUAUACCAGCCUUCGACGUCAACAUAAG